GCUGUGGGUUCAGUGGUGUGCACCUGUAAUCCCAGCUACUAGGAGGCUGAGGCGGGGGGUUGAGUUAGAGUCCAGCCUGGGUAACACAGUGAGACCCCACCUCAA
RNAcentral lists this small RNA (105 nucleotides) under Marmota monax (woodchuck). Lineage: Eukaryota; Metazoa; Chordata; Mammalia; Rodentia; Sciuridae. The record is from RNAcentral.